This 420-nucleotide ribosomal RNA is filed under the name uncultured bacterium. RNAcentral describes it as "bacterial SSU rRNA". It matches the Rfam family "Bacterial small subunit ribosomal RNA", at positions 358 to 774 of the family's 1533-position model. The record is from RNAcentral.
GGGAUAUUGGUCAAUGGUGGCAACACUGAACCAGCCAUGCCGCGUGAGGGAAUGAGGCCCUACGGGUCGUGAACCUCUUUUGUGCGGGGACAAGGACGGGCACGUGAUGCCCGUUUGAGGGUACCGCGCGAAUAAGCGUCGGCUAACUCCGUGCCAGCAGCCGCGGUAAUACGGAGGACGCGAGCGUUAUCCGGAUUCAUUGGGUUUAAAGGGUGCGCAGGCGGCCUGUCAAGUCAGCGGUGAAAUCCCGGGGCCCAACCCCGGAAGUGCCGUUGAUACUGUCGGGCUGGAAUGCGGUCGAGGCGGGCGGAACGUGGCGUGUAGCGGUGAAAUGCGUAGAUAUGCCACAGAACGCCGAUAGCGGAGGCAGCUCGCCAGGCCUGCAUUGACGCUCGGGCACGAAAGCGUGGGGAUCGAACA